GACGAACGCUGGCGGCGUGCUUAACACAUGCAAGUCGAACGGAAAGGCCCUGAUUUUGUGGGGUGCUCGAGUGGCGAACGGGUGAGUAACACGUGAGUAACCUGCCCUUGACUUUGGGAUAACAUCAGGAAACUGGGGCUAAUACAGGAUAGGAGCUCCUGCUGCAUGGUGGGGGUUGGAAAGUUUCGGCGGUUUGGGAUGGACUAGCGGCUUAUCAGCUUGUUGGUGGGGUAGUGGCUGACCAAGUCUUUGACGGGUAGCCGGCCUGGGAGGGUGGCCAGGCACAAUGGUCCUGCGAUACGCCCCAGUCGCCUACGUGAGGCAGCAGUGGGGAAUAUUACACAAUGGGCGGGAGCCUGAUGCAGCGACGCCGCGUGCGGGAUGACGGCCUUCGGGUUGUAAACCGCUUUCGCCUGUGACGAAGCGUGAGUGACGGUACUGGGUAAAGAAGCACCGGCUAACUACGUG
This 468-nucleotide ribosomal RNA is filed under the name uncultured bacterium. Its description in RNAcentral is "partial 16S ribosomal RNA". It matches the Rfam family "Bacterial small subunit ribosomal RNA", at positions 28 to 507 of the family's 1533-position model. The record is from RNAcentral.